RNAcentral lists this long non-coding RNA (964 nucleotides) under Nicotiana benthamiana. RNAcentral describes it as "long non-coding RNA (NBEN_LNC034457)". Lineage: Eukaryota; Viridiplantae; Streptophyta; Magnoliopsida; Solanales; Solanaceae. The record is from RNAcentral.
GUCGUCUUCUUUGCACCACCCAAUCAAGCAUAGACCUCUGAUUUCUCACGUUAAACCAGCCACCACCGGCCACGAGAAACCUCCAUCUUCUUCAUCUCCCGUCGUGAACACACGCAGACCCGCCCCCCUGAUCGUGGUCUUCUCCAAACGAACCUUAAAGAUCUAAAAGUUGCAGUAGCAACCAUAAGCCCAAGAUCCCUGAGCUUCUCCUUCUUCCUUCUUCACGUAGCAGCAACCAUAGAUGUUGACUCCUUCGCCACCCACUCAUUGGAACGCACACACAUACGCAGAAUUAAAGAAAGCUGGGAUUUGGAUUUUACUUCUGAUAUUUGUUCUUCCAAAGCUUCUGCUUGAGUUUGUUCAAUAUAGAAUUUCCAAUCUCUGUUUCGAUCUCGGCUCGUGAAGUUUGAUUGAGGUCAUAUUUGUGUUUCGAGCUGUCCGUUAGCAAAUCCGAGGUGUCGAUUCGAGGUCCGUUAUUAAAUUAUAUCGCGGUUCCGUCAAGUUUUUGUUAAACGCUUUCAGAUUUCAUUUGGGAAAUAUAUCUCUAAGGUCAUCUCUUCUAUCCCACUCAUCUUCAAAUGAUAUACGAUUGUUUUUUUAUCUAAUUUUUUAUAUCUGUUAUUCAAUGUCAAAAAUGGACUUAAACUUGGUUUGCUAUCUGAUUCUUAUUUCAUUUGUGUUCGUUACUCUAUGUUUUGGCAGUUAUUCUCAACUACUAUAGGAUAAUAAGAACCAUGAAAAUAUAAGACAAUAGCAUAGAGUUUAUUAAGUCAUUAAUCCAUCAAAUCAUAAUUCUAUCACGUAAUAAUGUAUUCUUGAUGAUGAAUCACUUCCAUUAUUUUUUUUGUUUAAUCUCUUGUUUCCGUAAGAAUUCGACGGAAAUUGUGGCAGAAAGUAAGAAGUUUUCAUAACUUAGUUGAAUAGAGUUGAUGUAAAGUUAGUCCUAAACCAUAGGAUAAAUUAA